This 207-nucleotide ribosomal RNA is filed under the name uncultured Pseudomonadota bacterium. Its description in RNAcentral is "uncultured proteobacterium partial 16S ribosomal RNA". It matches the Rfam family "Bacterial small subunit ribosomal RNA", at positions 568 to 774 of the family's 1533-position model. Lineage: Bacteria; Pseudomonadati; Pseudomonadota. The record is from RNAcentral.
CUCGUAGGCUGUUCGGUCAGUCAGAUGUGAAAGCCCUCGGCUUAACCGGGGAACUGCAUUUGAUACUGCCAGACUUGAGUGUCGGAGAGGGUGGCGGAAUUCCGGGUGUAGGAGUGAAAUCCGUAGAUAUCCGGAGGAACACCAGUGGCGAAGGCGGCCACCUGGACGACAACUGACGCUGAGGAGCGAAAGUGUGGGGAGCAAACA